Molecule: long non-coding RNA, 1033 nt
Filed under: Phoenix dactylifera (date palm)
Lineage: Eukaryota; Viridiplantae; Streptophyta; Magnoliopsida; Arecales; Arecaceae
Description: long non-coding RNA (PDAC_LNC015527)
Source: RNAcentral
AGGAUAAGGCUUGACGGUUAUAACUAAGAUGUGGCCUUGACUAGCCUUAAAAAGUUACCAUUUUAAACUUGCUAUUGGAUGCUUACUGUGCUGGGUUUCUGAACGUUUCAUAAGCAUAACAUUACUUCAUUUGCUGAUGUUGAUGUGGCAAAUUUUGGCGAACUCCUAUAGAUACUAUUAAAGCAAAAUUUUAAAGCAUAUGUUGAGAUACUAUAAAUUAUUGACAAUAAAAAAACGUUAGCAACUUAUGUAAAGUGAAAAAAAUACAAAUACAACCUAAAAGUCUCUAGACAACUCAAGAUUGGUGAAGCUUGGAGGGGGAAACAUGGCAAUAAGUCUUAAGAAGUAUGCUAGAUAUAAACAUGAGCAAUUGUUACCAUGUUUUACUUGUCAUGAAUGAACUAAUUAUUAACAUCUUAGAGGAGGCUCCAAGGUUCGCCGUACCGGUACCGAACCCCGUAUCGGUGCCGCACAGGCGUACCGAGUGUCGAUACGGUAUGGUACGCGGUACGCCAGGCGUACCGAUACCAGUAUCCAUCGGUACGGGUACGGUACGUCCGGUACCGACCGGUACAGCAUACCAUGGGAGGCUCCAGAUGUACAUUUCCUGUUGAUGAUGCGAUGUUGGUCAAUGAGACUAAGCUUGUGCUGGGCAUUAGAUUGUAAUUAUGGAAGGAAAUCCAGAUGAAAAAGGAUCUAAGAAUUGAUAGAAAUGGAAGAAGUCAAGGAUGGAGUCAAAAUCAGGUCACAAGAGAACCUAAAAAGAAACCUAUCUUUCACUACUUUGGAUCCAUUUAAUAGGAUAGCAAGAUCUUAUACGCCAAGAGCAAGAUUUUUCAAGGAGCUGAAGACUGGAAGAAAGCAAAGGACAACUUCAUGGUUCGUAGUGAUGUAGGAGGUGGUAAUAAGAGCAUGGAUCCACAUGGAUUUGGCACCAUAUUUUGGUGAACUGUUUUACAUAAUAUAUAUGUAUGUUUAUAUAUAUGAACAUGUAUAUACAUACAUGUACAUACAUGUGUAUAUGUAUGUAUAU